RNAcentral lists this long non-coding RNA (202 nucleotides) under Terrapene triunguis (Three-toed box turtle). RNAcentral describes it as "Terrapene carolina triunguis (Three-toed box turtle) lncRNA (ENSTMTG00000013195.1)". The record is from RNAcentral. Lineage: Eukaryota; Metazoa; Chordata; Testudines; Emydidae.
GGCGGGGAGGGACCCCACCCCACCCCGAGUGACGGGAUUGCUCCAGAGCCCCCGCCUCCUCCCGCGGCGGCUGCCAACAUGGCUGCGGCCGCCUCCGCUGCCCAGGACGAGCUGAAUGGAUAAACAGUGAACUACACUGAUGAGGCCGAACAUCCAGAAGGGUUUAUUUUGUUGUUUUAAUUGAAGAAAUGAUAAGAGACGG